CUGAGCAUCGUUGCGGAUUUCAUUGUUUUUAACUUAUCCAGUUAACCCUUACUUCUAGUGUAACACUCUGCCUGAUAGUUUUUACUUCAACUUCUCUGCUGACCCCGAGGAUUAUCAUUCUGUUCAGCCCUUACCCACCUGCAGGGGAAGAAAACACCAGCGUUAACACAAGAGGUGGCGUUAGGACCUGCAACAGCCAGGUCUGUGCGAACGAAUUUUCUGACGGUAACGCACCCAACGAGCUUGCUGGCGAACAAACGGUGCUUCGCGAUUGGCAAAAUCCGC
Hyaena hyaena (striped hyena) is the source of this 285-nucleotide long non-coding RNA. RefSeq lists it as uncharacterized. NCBI's taxonomy places the organism in Eukaryota, Metazoa, Chordata, Mammalia, Carnivora, Hyaenidae. The transcript is spliced from 3 exons. The record is from RefSeq and is a predicted model, not a curated record.